AGGGAGCGAGCCAUCUGCGUCUGGGCUUUCUGGCUGAGAUGGAAGCAGUCGGCACUGAAGUAGGAGCGAUCAGGGCGACCAUCCUGUAGAAGAGUGCAACACUGACGAUGGUCUUCUUCAGCUGUGGCACAGGGGGGUGAAACAAAAUGACCCAUUCCUCAUGGAAUUACCUGAGAAUGCAGCAGCUGCAGAGCCUCAUCCACCUCUUUGACCACAUGUCUGAUAAUGGUCUGAGCCUGCAACAAAAACAAACUGAG
This is a long non-coding RNA of Notolabrus celidotus (New Zealand spotty), 257 nucleotides long. RefSeq lists it as uncharacterized. NCBI's taxonomy places the organism in Eukaryota, Metazoa, Chordata, Actinopteri, Labriformes, Labridae. The record is from RefSeq and is a predicted model, not a curated record. The transcript has 3 exons.